Molecule: ribosomal RNA, 534 nt
Filed under: Bifidobacterium bifidum
Lineage: Bacteria; Bacillati; Actinomycetota; Actinomycetes; Bifidobacteriales; Bifidobacteriaceae
Description: bacterial SSU rRNA
Rfam family: Bacterial small subunit ribosomal RNA
Source: RNAcentral
GGGUGGUAAUGCCGGAUGUUCCACAUGAUCGCAUGUGAUUGUGGGAAAGAUUCUAUCGGCGUGGGAUGGGGUCGCGUCCUAUCAGCUUGUUGGUGAGGUAACGGCUCACCAAGGCUUCGACGGGUAGCCGGCCUGAGAGGGCGACCGGCCACAUUGGGACUGAGAUACGGCCCAGACUCCUACGGGAGGCAGCAGUGGGGAAUAUUGCACAAUGGGCGCAAGCCUGAUGCAGCGACGCCGCGUGAGGGAUGGAGGCCUUCGGGUUGUAAACCUCUUUUGUUUGGGAGCAAGCCUUCGGGUGAGUGUACCUUUCGAAUAAGCGCCGGCUAACUACGUGCCAGCAGCCGCGGUAAUACGUAGGGCGCAAGCGUUAUCCGGAUUUAUUGGGCGUAAAGGGCUCGUAGGCGGCUCGUCGCGUCCGGUGUGAAAGUCCAUCGCUUAACGGUGGAUCUGCGCCGGGUACGGGCGGGCUGGAGUGCGGUAGGGGAGACUGGAAUUCCCGGUGUAACGGUGGAAUGUGUAGAUAUCGGAAAA